This 1235-nucleotide long non-coding RNA is filed under the name Gallus gallus (chicken). Its description in RNAcentral is "lncRNA (ENSGALG00010025699.1)". The record is from RNAcentral. Lineage: Eukaryota; Metazoa; Chordata; Aves; Galliformes; Phasianidae.
AGCUUUGCAUAGCCAGCCACUGCUGGCAGUGGUGGCCCCAGCAGCCAUGGCCCCUUUUACCUGGAUCCUGCUUUCCCAGCAUUUCAUGGUCAUGCAGAUGGACCAGAAGCUAGAUGACAUCCUGACCGCGCUCCAGGCUCAGUUUGGGGAUCAGCCACAGGCACAGAUGUCAGGGCAGCCGCUCCACCUGUCAGACAGCUACAGACAGCCUCAGAUUCCUCCCCACUGAACCGGAAAAUUUAAGAGCCGGAGGACAGCCACAUGCCACCCCCUCAUUCUUUUACAUCUGGUUAUUUUUAAGUCUUGGUGUCUCAGGAUUCAGCUGUGUUGUUGAUGAAAUGGAAUAUGCUUCUGUGAUAGAUUAAAUGAAAGAGAAGCAGCAGCAAAAAGCCAGCCAUGCCCCUAGGAGGGCGCAUAAGUUUUGCACCUGUUUUAUUAGCCACUGUUAGCUAACCUAUGUCAGCCUGUGGCAGACCUUCUCAGCCAACCCCAUUUAGGCUGAGGGCGCACACAUAGACCACUCUGGUAAGGUAAGCACCCAAGCAAGGGUCAGGAUGACCCAUUCAUGGACAAAGGGGAAAAAGGACCAUGUUUUUGGCAUUUAAGCACUAAAUUUAAUUCUCACAGCAUGCCCAAAAGGGGAAAGGAGCCAGCAUUUGAACAUGAAAUAAAUGGAAAUCAGUGAACAGGAAACUUAAACAGCAUGUUUUGACUUCCACCAAGCAGUGAGGAUCAUAAGAAGGGCAGAUUUAUACAUUAGUGUGAAUGACAAUGUAAAGACAACAGGCUACUGAGUAAAAUAUGGAAGUGUACACCGGCUGGUUGACAUAUGAAAGAAGCAAAGACUUCAGCUAAUUAAAGCAAAGGUUUGCAAAUGAGAUGAGAUGCAUGUUGGAACAGACAGGCAGGAGAGAUAGUAUCUGCGUAGGCUUACUGCACAAGAACGCUCCAAUAGCUAUCAGCUACACUAAUGACUAUUAUGAAGAAUGUUCUCAAGCUUUAACCUUCAUUCAGCAGUGGCUGUUAAGUCCAGUUGUCUUAACUUUAACAUAAGAAGCCUGUAUGGUUAUCAGCUUUGAAAUAUCUAUAAAGUUCAGUUCAAGUCUCAGAGUAACAGUGCUGCAGGAGGGCUGCAGCUAUGACUGAGAAUGGAAGGGUAUCUUAAAGAAAACAAAAAUGUGCAUACUGAUGAUGAAAGCUAAUCACUGCUUAAAUAAACUACUGUGUAUAAUUUU